This is a small nucleolar RNA of Mya arenaria, 143 nucleotides long. RefSeq annotates it as small nucleolar RNA SNORD10. The record is from RefSeq and is a predicted model, not a curated record. Lineage: Eukaryota; Metazoa; Mollusca; Bivalvia; Myida; Myidae. The transcript has a single exon.
GUAAUGUGAUGAUCACCUCAUGCGCUUCAUCUGAUUUGGAAUGCCCACUGCUCGUUUGUGAUGGCUGUAGCGUUUUGCUGCUGUCGUUGCAACUGGCAGAGUUGUGGCUCUCUGAAGCAUGACCAAACUUAGAUGCUGAUUAC